Non-coding RNA from Sulfitobacter mediterraneus, 50 nucleotides. The record is from Rfam. Lineage: Bacteria; Pseudomonadati; Pseudomonadota; Alphaproteobacteria; Rhodobacterales; Roseobacteraceae.
GACAUGCCACAACGGCUUCCUGACGUGGCAGUUUUUUAUCUAUUGGAGCG